This 791-nucleotide ribosomal RNA is filed under the name uncultured Bacteroidota bacterium. RNAcentral describes it as "bacterial SSU rRNA". It matches the Rfam family "Bacterial small subunit ribosomal RNA", at positions 133 to 925 of the family's 1533-position model. Lineage: Bacteria; Pseudomonadati; Bacteroidota. The record is from RNAcentral.
CCACUUGGGGAUAACCUUGCGAAAGUAAGACUAAUACCCAAUGACGUCUCUAGAAGACAUCUGAAAGAGAUUAAAGAUUUAUCGGUGAUGGAUGGGGAUGCGUCUGAUUAGCUUGUUGGCGGGGUAACGGCCCACCAAGGCGACGAUCAGUAGGGGUUCUGAGAGGAAGGUCCCCCACAUUGGAACUGAGACACGGUCCAAACUCCUACGGGAGGCAGCAGUGAGGAAUAUUGGUCAAUGGGCGAGAGCCUGAACCAGCCAAGUAGCGUGCAGGAUGACGGCCCUAUGGGUUGUAAACUGCUUUUAUAAGGGAAUAAAGUGAGUCUCGUGAGGCUUUUUGCAUGUACCUUAUGAAUAAGGACCGGCUAAUUCCGUGCCAGCAGCCGCGGUAAUACGGAAGGUCCGGGCGUUAUCCGGAUUUAUUGGGUUUAAAGGGAGCGUAGGCCGGAGAUUAAGCGUGUUGUGAAAUGUAGACGCUCAACGUCUGCACUGCAGCGCGAACUGGUUUCCUUGAGUACGCACAAAGUGGGCGGAAUUCGUGGUGUAGCGGUGAAAUGCUUAGAUAUCACGAAGAACUCCGAUUGCGAAGGCAGCUCACUGGAGCGCAACUGACGCUGAAGCUCGAAAGUGCGGGUAUCGAACAGGAUUAGAUACCCUGGUAGUCCGCACGGUAAACGAUGGAUGCCCGCUGUUGGUCUGAAUAGGUCAGCGGCCAAGCGAAAGCAUUAAGCAUCCCACCUGGGGAGUACGCCGGCAACGGUGCAACUCAAAUGAAUUGACGGAAGGGCGAA